This 76-nucleotide transfer RNA is filed under the name Candidatus Coatesiibacteriota bacterium. RNAcentral's name for it is "Candidatus Coatesbacteria bacterium tRNA-Arg". It matches the Rfam family "tRNA". From Rfam's summary of the family: Transfer RNA (tRNA) molecules are approximately 80 nucleotides in length. Their secondary structure includes four short double-helical elements and three loops (D, anti-codon, and T loops). The record is from RNAcentral. Lineage: Bacteria; Candidatus Coatesiibacteriota.
GCGCCAGUAGCUCAGUGGAUAGAGCAACGGUCUCCGGAACCGUAGGUCAGAGGUUCAAUCCCUCUCUGGCGCGCCA